Long non-coding RNA from Lampris incognitus (smalleye Pacific opah), 1492 nucleotides. RefSeq lists it as uncharacterized. NCBI's taxonomy places the organism in Eukaryota, Metazoa, Chordata, Actinopteri, Lampriformes, Lampridae. The record is from RefSeq and is a predicted model, not a curated record. The transcript has 2 exons.
GAUAAAUAUUCUUCUGUUUAUUAAUUAAUGAUGUGCCAAAUUAACAAAUGAAAACCUAUUUUACAGCUCGAAGUUACAGACUCUGGUGUCGUCUGUCAGUUAGUCUGUCAGGUAGUCUGUCAGUUAGUCUGUGAGUUAGUCUGUGAGUUAGUCUGUCAGUCUGUCAGUUAGUCUGUAAGGUAGUCUGUCAGUUAGUCUGUCAGUCUGUCAGGUAGUCUGUUAGUCUGUCAGGUAGUCUGUCAGUUAGUCUGUCAGGUAGUCUGUCAGGUAGUCUGUCAGUCUGUCAGGUAGUCUGUUAGUCUGUCAGGUAGUCUGUCAGGUAGUCUGUCUGUUAGUCUGUCAGUCUGUCAGGUAGUCUGUCAGUCUGUCAGUUAGUCUGUCAGGUAGUCCAAUGAAAAGAACAGGAUGUAAACCACAAGCUGACACAUUUAAGAAGAGAGACUUGUUCUGAAUUACAACCAAACUGAUGUAAAUCCAAACGAGAGCCACCUGAUAAUCCUCCUCCACUACACUGUCAGAGUCCUACUGAGGAGAAGUCAUCCAUCCUGAACGCUCCUCCUCCUCCUCCUCCUCCUACACACACGCAUCAACACAUCCACCCUGAACGCUCCUCCUCCUCCUCCUACACACACACAUCAACACAUCCAUCCUGAACGUUCUUCCUCCUCCUCUUACAUACAACACAUCCAUCCUGAACAUUCCUCCUCCUCCUCCUCCUCCUCCUACACACAUCAACACAUCCACCCUGAACGCUCCUCCUCCUACACACAUCAACACAUCCAUUCUGAAUGUUCCUCCUCCUCCACACAUCCAUCCUGAAUGUUCCUCCUCCUACACACAUCAACACAUCCAUCCUGAACGUUCCUCCUCCUCCUCCUCCACACAUCCAUCCUGAAUGUUCCUCCUCCUACACACAUCAACACAUCCAUCCUGAACGUUCCUCCUCCUCCUCCUACACACAACACAUCCAUCCUGAACAUUCCUGCUCCUCCUCCUACACACAACACAUCCAUCCUGAACGUUCCUCCUCCUCCUCCUACACACACACAUUAACAGACUCCUGGAAGAGAUUAAAGUGCAACGAGUGAGACAGAGAGAAGAGAGAGAGAGAGAGAGAGAGAGAGAGAGAGAGAGAGAGAGAGAGAGAGCGAGAGCAAGAGAGAGAGAGAGAGAGAGCAAGAGAGAGAGAGAGAGAGAGAUGCCGAUCCUGGACUUUGAGGCUGGCCGUCUGUAGGUUUCCGUGACAACAAGACUGGAGUCCAGACUGGGACUAGGGUUCUGUUUGGAGCAAGCCAGCUGCUGGUUCAAAACUUCUUUGCCUCCACAGAUCAAAACUACUAGAGCUUGGUGGACGUUUGAUUUUUGGUUUAUUUUUAAAUGAACCCCUGGCGGGCAGAUGAGGGGGUGUCAGUCAUGAGAGGGGAGUUAGAAGAUGUUCUCUCACUCACUCACACACACACACACACACACACACACACACACACACACACAC